RNAcentral lists this small RNA (29 nucleotides) under Bombyx mori (domestic silkworm). Its description in RNAcentral is "ovarian small RNA-22329". Lineage: Eukaryota; Metazoa; Arthropoda; Insecta; Lepidoptera; Bombycidae. The record is from RNAcentral.
UAGCCACCAAGCUAAUGACUGUGUCCGAC